Molecule: non-coding RNA, 216 nt
Organism: Cinara cedri
Lineage: Eukaryota; Metazoa; Arthropoda; Insecta; Hemiptera; Aphididae
Source: the annotation of a GenBank genome assembly
GUCUAUUCGAAAAUAGUCAUUAUCGCAUCACUAUACUAGUCCUGAAGCCGUUUGAUCGCCGUGUUCAUUUCGUGUAUGGCAAAUUGUUAGAUUGUUGUUGCUGCUGCUGCUGCCGCUGCUACGUCCAUUAAUUAAAUUACAACGUCCGCAGACAUAGUUUAAGGCGUGUGAAAUAUGCGCAAAGUUGACGAAGAACCUUGGCAGCGUAUCUAUGUA